Phrynosoma platyrhinos (Desert horned lizard) is the source of this 73-nucleotide non-coding RNA. The record is from the annotation of a GenBank genome assembly. NCBI's taxonomy places the organism in Eukaryota, Metazoa, Chordata, Lepidosauria, Squamata, Phrynosomatidae.
AGCCAGCCUGGUAUAGUGGUUUGAGCACUGGACUAGGAAUCUGGAGACCAGGGUUCAAAUCCCUGCUUGGCUG